CCUACGGGUGGCAGCAGUGGGGAAUAUUGGGCAAUGGGCGCAAGCCUGACCCAGCAACGCCGCGUGAAGGAAGAAGGCUUUCGGGUUGUAAACUUCCUUUAAGAGGGAAGAGCAGAAGACGGUACCUCUUGAAUAAGCCACGGCUAACUACGUGCCAGCAGCCGCGGUAAUACGUAGGUGGCAAGCGUUGUCCGGAUUUACUGGGUGUAAAGGGCGUGCAGCCGGGAAGACAAGUCAGAUGUGAAAUCCCGAGGCUCAACCGCGGAGCUGCAUUUGACACUGUUUUUCUUGAGUACCGGAGAGGUCAUCGGAAUGCCUUGUGUAGCGGUGAAAUGCGUAGAUAUAAGGAAGAACACCAGUGGCGAAGGCAGAUGACUGGACGGCAACUGACGGUGGGGCGCGAAAGCGUGGGGAGCGAACAGGAUUAGAUACCCCAGUAGUC
This 442-nucleotide ribosomal RNA is filed under the name uncultured bacterium. Its description in RNAcentral is "partial 16S ribosomal RNA". It matches the Rfam family "Bacterial small subunit ribosomal RNA", at positions 338 to 795 of the family's 1533-position model. The record is from RNAcentral.